CCCUUAGAUGUUCUGGGCCGCACGCGCGCUACACUGACGAAUGCAACGAGCUUAUAACCUUGGCCGAAAGGUCUGGGUAAUCUCCAAAUUUCGUCGUGAUGGGGAUAGAUUAUUGCAAUUAUUAAUCUUCAACGAGGAAUGCCUAGUAAGCGCAAGUCAUCAGCCUGCGUUGAUUACGUCCCUGCCCUUUGUACACACCGCCCGUCGCUCCUACCGAUUGAAUGGUCCGGUGAAGCGUUCGGACCGUGGCCUUUGGACGGUUCGCCGUCUGUUGGCUGCGGGAAGUUCGUUAAACCUUAUCAUUUAGAGGAAGGAGAANUCGUAACA
This 327-nucleotide ribosomal RNA is filed under the name uncultured eukaryote. RNAcentral's name for it is "partial 18S ribosomal RNA". It matches the Rfam family "Eukaryotic small subunit ribosomal RNA", at positions 1470 to 1796 of the family's 1831-position model. The record is from RNAcentral.